AAUCUAAAUAAGUAAUAGCCGGAGACCGCAGGAGCAACUAGCUUAAUUUCCUGCCGAGGUUUAGUUAAAAAUUUAACGAAAUCUUCUACCCAAACUUGUGGUAGCAGAUUCAAAGUUAAAAUAACAAACUUCGCUUCAUCGUUAACCCCGGCUCGUUAAAGUCGGGGUUAAUUGCUUUACUG
This is a non-coding RNA of Richelia intracellularis, 182 nucleotides long. The record is from Rfam. NCBI's taxonomy places the organism in Bacteria, Bacillati, Cyanobacteriota, Cyanophyceae, Nostocales, Nostocaceae.